RNAcentral lists this ribosomal RNA (466 nucleotides) under uncultured bacterium. RNAcentral describes it as "bacterial SSU rRNA". It matches the Rfam family "Bacterial small subunit ribosomal RNA", at positions 28 to 492 of the family's 1533-position model. The record is from RNAcentral.
GAUGAACGCUGGCGGCGUGCUUAACACAUGCAAGUCGAACGAAGCGCCUUAUUUGAUUUUCUUCGGAACUGAAGAUUUGGUGACUGAGUGGCGGACGGGUGAGUAACGCGUGGGUAACCUGCCCUGUACAGGGGGAUAACAAUCAGAAAUGACUGCUAAUACCGCAUAAGACCACAGCACCGCAUGGUGCAGGGGUAAAAACUCCGGUGGUACAGGAUGGACCCGCGUCUGAUUAGCUGGUUGGUGAGGUAACGGCUCACCAAGGCGACGAUCAGUAGCCGGCUUGAGAGAGUGAACGGCCACAUUGGGACUGAGACACGGCCCAAACUCCUACGGGAGGCAGCAGUGGGGAAUAUUGCACAAUGGGGGGAACCCUGAUGCAGCGACGCCGCGUGAGUGAAGAAGUAUUUCGGUAUGUAAAGCUCUAUCAGCAGGGAAGAAAAUGACGGUACCUGACUAAGAAGCC